RNAcentral lists this ribosomal RNA (303 nucleotides) under uncultured bacterium. RNAcentral describes it as "partial 16S ribosomal RNA". It matches the Rfam family "Bacterial small subunit ribosomal RNA", at positions 507 to 807 of the family's 1533-position model. The record is from RNAcentral.
AGCAGCCGCCACGGUAAUACAGAGGUCUCAAGCGUUGUUCGGAUUCAUUGGGCGUAAAGGGUGCGUAGGUGGUCAUGUAAGUCUAAUGUGAAAUCUCGGGGCUUAACCCCGAAAUUGCAUCGGAUACUGCGUGACUAGAGGAUUGUAGAGGAGAUUGGAAUUCACGGUGUAGCAGCGAAAUGCGUAGAUAUCGUGAGGAAGACCAGUUGCGAAGGCGAAUCUCUGGGCAAUUCCUGACACUGAGGCACGAAGGCCAGGGGAGCAAACGGGAUUAGAGACCCGCGUAGUCCCUGUCUCUUAUAC